This 417-nucleotide ribosomal RNA is filed under the name uncultured bacterium. RNAcentral's name for it is "bacterial SSU rRNA". It matches the Rfam family "Bacterial small subunit ribosomal RNA", at positions 945 to 1359 of the family's 1533-position model. The record is from RNAcentral.
UUUAAUUCGAAGAUACACGAAGAACCUUACCUGGGCUUGAUAUCCUAAGAAUCCUGUAGAGAUAUGGGAGUGCUAGUUUACUAGAACUUAGAGACAGGUGCUGCACGGCUGUCGUCAGCUCGUGUCGUGAGAUGUUGGGUUAAGUCCCGCAACGAGCGCAACCCUCGUGAUUAGUUGCUAACAGUUCGGCUGAGCACUCUAAUCAGACUGCCUUCGCAAGGAGGAGGAAGGUGAGGACGACGUCAAGUCAUCAUGGCCCUUAUGCCCAGGGCUACACACGUGCUACAAUGGCUAGGACAAAGAGAAGCGAUACUGCGAAGUGGAGCAAAUCUUAAAACCUAGUCUCAGUUCGGAUUGGAGUCUGCAACUCGACUCCAUGAAGCUGGAAUCGCUAGUAAUCGUAGAUCAGAUAUGCUA